GUUUAUGGCCACACUACCCUGAAUGUGCCUGAUCUUGUCUGAUCUCAGAAGCUAAGCAGGGUAGGGCCUCGUUAGUACUUGGAUGUAAGAAAAUUUAAAAAAUUGUACAUAGAAACA
Molecule: ribosomal RNA, 117 nt
Filed under: Castor canadensis (American beaver)
Lineage: Eukaryota; Metazoa; Chordata; Mammalia; Rodentia; Castoridae
Source: RNAcentral